Molecule: ribosomal RNA, 414 nt
Filed under: uncultured bacterium
Lineage: Bacteria
Description: bacterial SSU rRNA
Rfam family: Bacterial small subunit ribosomal RNA
Source: RNAcentral
AACGAACGCUGGCGGCAUGCCUAACACAUGCAAGUCGAACGAGACCUUCGGGUCUAGUGGCGCACGGGUGCGUAACGCGUGGGAAUCUGCCCUUGGGUUCGGAAUAACAGUUAGAAAUGACUGCUAAUACCGGAUAAUGUCUUCGGACCAAAGAUUUAUCGCCCAGGGAUGAGCCCGCGUAGGAUUAGCUAGUUGGUGAGGUAAAGGCUCACCAAGGCGACGAUCCUUAGCUGGUCUGAGAGGAUGAUCAGCCACACUGGGACUGAGACACGGCCCAGACUCCUACGGGAGGCAGCAGUGGGGAAUAUUGGACAAUGGCGAAAGCCUGAUCCAGCAAUGCCGCGUGAGUGAUGAAGGCCUUAGGGUUGUAAAGCUCUUUACCCGGGAUGAUAAUGACAGUACCGGGAGAAUAAG